RNAcentral lists this ribosomal RNA (253 nucleotides) under uncultured bacterium. Its description in RNAcentral is "partial 16S ribosomal RNA". It matches the Rfam family "Bacterial small subunit ribosomal RNA", at positions 524 to 776 of the family's 1533-position model. The record is from RNAcentral.
UACGGAGGGCGCGAGCGUUGUCCGGAUUCACUGGGCGUAAAGCGGGUGUAGGCGGAUGGGUAAGUCGGACGUGAAAGCCCAGGGCUCAACCCUUGAGUGGAGUCCGAAACUGCCUAACUUGAGGACGGGAGAGGGAGGUGGAAUUUCCGGUGUAUCGGUGAAAUGCGUAGAUAUCGGGAGGAACACCAGUGGCGAAGGGGGCCUCCUGGCCCGUUCCUUAUGCUGAGACCCGAAAGCGUGGGGAGCAAACCGG